Molecule: ribosomal RNA, 2461 nt
Filed under: Escherichia coli
Lineage: Bacteria; Pseudomonadati; Pseudomonadota; Gammaproteobacteria; Enterobacterales; Enterobacteriaceae
Description: partial 23S ribosomal RNA
Rfam family: Bacterial large subunit ribosomal RNA
Source: RNAcentral
CAUAGGUUAAUGAGGCGAACCGGGGGAACUGAAACAUCUAAGUACCCCGAGGAAAAGAAAUCAACCGAGAUUCCCCCAGUAGCGGCGAGCGAACGGGGAGGAGCCCAGAGCCUGAAUCAGUGUGUGUGUUAGUGGAAGCGUCUGGAAAGGCGCGCGAUACAGGGUGACAGCCCCGUACACAAAAAUGCACAUAUUGUGAGCUCGAUGAGUAGGGCGGGACACGUGGUAUCCUGUCUGAAUAUGGGGGGACCAUCCUCCAAGGCUAAAUACUCCUGACUGACCGAUAGUGAACCAGUACCGUGAGGGAAAGGCGAAAAGAACCCCGGCGAGGGGAGUGAAAAAGAACCUGAAACCGUGUACGUACAAGCAGUGGGAGCCUCUUAAUGGGGUGACUGCGUACCUUUUGUAUAAUGGGUCAGCGACUUAUAUUCUGUAGCAAGGUUAACCGAAUAGGGGAGCCGAAGGGAAACCGAGUCUUAACUGGGCGUUAAGUUGCAGGGUAUAGACCCGAAACCCGGUGAUCUAGCCAUGGGCAGGUUGAAGGUUGGGUAACACUAACUGGAGGACCGAACCGACUAAUGUUGAAAAAUUAGCGGAUGACUUGUGGCUGGGGGUGAAAGGCCAAUCAAACCGGGAGAUAGCUGGUUCUCCCCGAAAGCUAUUUAGGUAGCGCCUCGUGAAUUCAUCUCCGGGGGUAGAGCACUGUUUCGGCAAGGGGGUCAUCCCGACUUACCAACCCGAUGCAAACUGCGAAUACCGGAGAAUGUUAUCACGGGAGACACACGGCGGGUGCUAACGUCCGUCGUGAAGAGGGAAACAACCCAGACCGCCAGCUAAGGUCCCAAAGUCAUGGUUAAGUGGGAAACGAUGUGGGAAGGCCCAGACAGCCAGGAUGUUGGCUUAGAAGCAGCCAUCAUUUAAAGAAAGCGUAAUAGCUCACUGGUCGAGUCGGCCUGCGCGGAAGAUGUAACGGGGCUAAACCAUGCACCGAAGCUGCGGCAGCGACACUAUGUGUUGUUGGGUAGGGGAGCGUUCUGUAAGCCUGUGAAGGUGGCCUGUGAGGGUUGCUGGAGGUAUCAGAAGUGCGAAUGCUGACAUAAGUAACGAUAAAGCGGGUGAAAAGCCCGCUCGCCGGAAGACCAAGGGUUCCUGUCCAACGUUAAUCGGGGCAGGGUGAGUCGACCCCUAAGGCGAGGCCGAAAGGCGUAGUCGAUGGGAAACAGGUUAAUAUUCCUGUACUUGGUGUUACUGCGAAGGGGGGACGGAGAAGGCUAUGUUGGCCGGGCGACGGUUGUCCCGGUUUAAGCGUGUAGGCUGGUUUUCCAGGCAAAUCCGGAAAAUCAAGGCUGAGGCGUGAUGACGAGGCACUACGGUGCUGAAGCGACAAAUGCCCUGCUUCCAGGAAAAGCCUCUAAGCAUCAGGUAACAUCAAAUCGUACCCCAAACCGACACAGGUGGUCAGGUAGAGAAUACCAAGGCGCUUGAGAGAACUCGGGUGAAGGAACUAGGCAAAAUGGUGCCGUAACUUCGGGAGAAGGCACGCUGAUAUGUAGGUGAAGCGACUUGCUCGUGGAGCUGAAAUCAGUCGAAGAUACCAGCUGGCUGCAACUGUUUAUUAAAAACACAGCACUGUGCAAACACGAAAGUGGACGUAUACGGUGUGACGCCUGCCCGGUGCCGGAAGGUUAAUUGAUGGGGUUAGCGGUAACGCGAAGCUCUUGAUCGAAGCCCCGGUAAACGGCGGCCGUAACUAUAACGGUCCUAAGGUAGCGAAAUUCCUUGUCGGGUAAGUUCCGACCUGCACGAAUGGCGUAAUGAUGGCCAGGCUGUCUCCACCCGAGACUCAGUGAAAUUGAACUCGCUGUGAAGAUGCAGUGUACCCGCGGCAAGACGGAAAGACCCCGUGAACCUUUACUAUAGCUUGACACUGAACAUUGAGCCUUGAUGUGUAGGAUAGGUGGGAGGCUUUGAAGUGUGGACGCCAGUCUGCAUGGAGCCGACCUUGAAAUACCACCCUUUAAUGUUUGAUGUUCUAACGUGGGCCCCUUACCGGGGUUGCGGACAGUGUCUGGUGGGUAGUUUGACUGGGGCGGUCUCCUCCUAAAGAGUAACGGAGGAGCACGAAGGUUGGCUAAUCCUGGUCGGACAUCAGGAGGUUAGUGCAAUGGCAUAAGCCAGCUUGACUGCGAGCGUGACGGCGCGAGCAGGUGCGAAAGCAGGUCAUAGUGAUCCGGUGGUUCUGAAUGGAAGGGCCAUCGCUCAACGGAUAAAAGGUACUCCGGGGAUAACAGGCUGAUACCGCCCAAGAGUUCAUAUCGACGGCGGUGUUUGGCACCUCGAUGUCGGCUCAUCACAUCCUGGGGCUGAAGUAGGUCCCAAGGGUAUGGCUGUUCGCCAUUUAAAGUGGUACGCGAGCUGGGUUUAGAACGUCGUGAGACAGUUCGGUCCCUAUCUGCCGUGG